RNAcentral lists this ribosomal RNA (252 nucleotides) under uncultured bacterium. RNAcentral describes it as "partial 16S ribosomal RNA". It matches the Rfam family "Bacterial small subunit ribosomal RNA", at positions 524 to 775 of the family's 1533-position model. The record is from RNAcentral.
GACGAACCGUGCGAACGUUGUUCGGAAUCACUGGGCUUAAAGGGCGCGUAGGCGGUUCUCCCAGUCCGGGGUGAAAGCGCUCGGCUUAACCGGGCCAGUGCCUUGGAUACUGGAGAACUCGAGGGAGAUAGGGGCAGGUGGAACUUCCGGUGGAGCGGUGAAAUGCGUUGAUAUCGGAAGGAACGCCGGUGGCGAAAGCGGCCUGCUGGAUCUCCUCUGACGCUGAGGCGCGAAAGCCAGGGGAGCGAACGG